Molecule: ribosomal RNA, 400 nt
Filed under: uncultured Methylomonas sp.
Lineage: Bacteria; Pseudomonadati; Pseudomonadota; Gammaproteobacteria; Methylococcales; Methylococcaceae
Description: bacterial SSU rRNA
Rfam family: Bacterial small subunit ribosomal RNA
Source: RNAcentral
GGGGAAUAUUGGACAAUGGGCGCAAGCCUGAUCCAGCCAUGCCGCGUGAGUGAUGAAGGCCCUAGGGUUGUAAAGCUCUUUCGCCAGGGACGAUAAUGACGGUACCUGGAUAAGAAGCCCCGGCUAACUUCGUGCCAGCAGCCGCGGUAAUACGAAGGGGGCUAGCGUUGUUCGGAAUCACUGGGCGUAAAGCGCACGUAGGCGGAUUGUUAAGUCAGGGGUGAAAUCCCGAGGCUCAACCUCGGAACUGCCUUUGAUACUGGCGAUCUAGAGUCCGGGAGAGGUGAGUGGAACUGCGAGUGUAGAGGUGAAAUUCGUAGAUAUUCGCAAGAACACCAGUGGCGAAGGCGGCUCACUGGCCCGGAACUGACGCUGAGGUGCGAAAGCGUGGGGAGCAAAC